CGAACCAGAGGCGGUGGGUGAGAUUCUCCCUCCCCUCCCCUGCCCUGCCCUGCCCUGGCCGCGCCCCCACUGUCUGGAGACCCCCUGACCGGCGGCCGGAGCGUGAUGCAAACCAAGCCAUUGCUCUGAAAGGAAAGCCUUCUGCUUGUGGUUGGGCAUAUUCCACUGCCUCUUCCAAAUAGGACCUCCACAGCCCCAAGAUCCAAGGCAGAUUGAUGAUCCCUGGGGAACGGGAGCAGGUGUGCUGUAGGCUAAGAGAUGCACCCAGGGGGCACAGGGUGAAUCCUGUUAGAGAGCUCCUGAAGCAGCUUCAAGGACAAGGACUGUCUCAGCUCCUGUCUUCCUGUGGCAGGUGUGAGCCCUGGGGCUCUCCACUGCCUGCUCUGUUUGGGGGCCGGAAAGGCACUAGGAGACUCCUUCUGCCCUGGGAAUGGAAGGAAACAGACUAGGACUAUUUUCUCAAAGAAAAGCAAAGAGAGCAGGAUGACAUGGCCCUGAAACCAUCUUUUCCUCUUGCCAUAAUGGACUGCCCCCUCCCAGUUAAACAGAAGCAGUGGAUCCUCUGCCUUGAACACCUUCCACCACUUUUAGAUCCUUUCCAUUCACAAGCAUAAACAUUUAUCUCCCCCUCACACUAAAGCUCGGGUGCCUGGCCCUAGCUAAUACAAAAGCUACUUUCAGACCCAAACAGGCCCAAUGCUCCUUGAACUGGGCUAGCAAGGAACGUAGUGGUCUCAGCUAUAUGCAUCAUUCCAAUCUCUUUCCAACUGGGCAACUGCUAUAGAGAAGAGGGAAGGCAACAGUGGUGCAAGUCUUCACUUACUGCUUCUGGUUUGGAUCAAGGAUACCUAGGUGGUAGUCUGCAUUAAGAAAAGCUAAAUAUGUGAGUUACCAUCAUAAUGUUACUUUUCCAUGUAAACGAUUGCUGUGGUUGCCAUGGGAUGUCCUGGGAUAACGAAUGAGAUGUUAAGUGUCCAUGAGGAUCUCUAUAAGAUGUGGUUUACACUAAAAUGUUGGAAAACCCAGAUUUUGGGUAUUUAAUGCCAGAUUAUAAAUAAUGAGUAACUGAAACUGUUAGUUUGGAUGGCACUAUGCUCAGCCUACACACACAAUGCUCUGCCCACCACAACCUCAAGAACUUUGGUUACGUCUUGCAGUCUCGUACAGCUGUCUUCAGCAGCACUGCUCCUGACCAGGUGGAGGGGUUACUUCAAGGUGACUCAAGACCCACCCCAGGACCAAGUGAAGAACCAAUCUAGACUCUCCAACUCAAAGCCCAUACCACAUGCUUUAAGAAAUAUGUGUUUGUUAGUAUGAGAUCUCUUUGGAACAGAAACAUGCAAGUGCUCUCCAGAAAGUGACUUAAUACAGCUUUAACCAGAGAGGCCAAAUGGUUCCCUAAGAAUGGAUUCCCAUCUCAUAGGAAAUGGAACAUACUGUGGCCUCGUAUGAGUGAUUCUCAUCUCUUUCCCAAAAGUUUAUAGAUAUAUUUUAGAGCUGCCACAAACAAAAGUUGACACCACUGCUCCAUUCUUCAAGUUAUAAGAGCUUGCAUCUUCCCUAACCAAUAGCCAUGGAUCAAGAGUGUCAGAUUAAAUUGCUUUGGCAGGUCUGCAACUCAAUAUUAAAUCAAGUAUUUUCUA
Caretta caretta (loggerhead turtle) is the source of this 1643-nucleotide long non-coding RNA. RefSeq lists it as uncharacterized. The record is from RefSeq and is a predicted model, not a curated record. NCBI's taxonomy places the organism in Eukaryota, Metazoa, Chordata, Testudines, Cheloniidae.